RNAcentral lists this ribosomal RNA (514 nucleotides) under uncultured archaeon. RNAcentral describes it as "bacterial SSU rRNA". It matches the Rfam family "Archaeal small subunit ribosomal RNA", at positions 345 to 859 of the family's 1478-position model. The record is from RNAcentral.
AUUUUCUGCAAUGUACGCAAGUACGACAGGGCGAGCCAGAGUGAUUUUCUAUAUUUGAAAAUCUUCUGUGACAUGUAAAUAGUGUUACGAAUAAGGACCGGGCAAGACUGGUGCCAGUCGCCGCGGUAAUCCCAGCGGUCCAAGUCGCAACCACAAUUAUUGGGUCUAAAACAUCCGUAGCUUGCUUGAUAAGUCUCUUGUGAAAUCCGGCCUCUUAAGGGUCGAAGAGCAGGAGAUACUGUCGGGCUAGAGACCGGGAGAGGUAAGAAGUACGGUCGGGGUACCGAUAAAAUGGGUUGAUCCUGUCUGGACUAACAACAGCGAAGGCAUCUUACCAGCACGGAUCUGACAGUAAGGGAUGAAGGCUAGGGGCGCAAAAGGGAUUAGAUACCCCUGUAGUCCUAGCAGUAAACACUGCACACUAAACAUUGGGGCCUCUUCGAGAGGUUUCAGUGCUGUAGAGAAGUCGUAGAGUGUGCUACCUGGGAAGUAUAGUCGCAAGAUCGAAACUUAA